GACGAACGCUGGCGGCGUGCCUAAUACAUGCAAGUCGAGCGCAGGAAGCUGACGGAACUCUUCGGAGAGAAGGCAGUGGAAUGAGCGGCGGACGGGUGAGUAACACGUAAGGAACCUGCCUCAAGGAUUGGGAUAACUCCGAGAAAUCGGAGCUAAUACCGGAUAGUUCAACGGACCGCAUGGUCCGCUGAUGAAAGGCGCUUCGGCGUCACCUUGAGAUGGCCUUGCGGUGCAUUAGCUAGUUGGGGGGGUAAAGGCCCACCAAGGCGACGAUGGAUAGCCGACCUGAGGGGGUGAUCGGCCACACUGGGACUGAGACGCGGCCCAGACGCCUACGAGAGGCAGCAGUAGGGAAUCUUCCACAAUGGACGAAAGUCGGAUGGAGCAACGCCGCGUGAGUGAUGAAGGUUUUCGGAUCGUAAAACUCUGUUGUAAGGGAAGAACACGUACGAGAGGGAAUGCUCGUACCUUGACGGUACCUUACGAGAAAGCCACGGCUAACUACGUGCCAGCCGCCGCCGUAA
RNAcentral lists this ribosomal RNA (524 nucleotides) under uncultured bacterium. RNAcentral's name for it is "partial 16S ribosomal RNA". It matches the Rfam family "Bacterial small subunit ribosomal RNA", at positions 28 to 523 of the family's 1533-position model. The record is from RNAcentral.